RNAcentral lists this ribosomal RNA (486 nucleotides) under uncultured bacterium. RNAcentral describes it as "partial 16S ribosomal RNA". It matches the Rfam family "Bacterial small subunit ribosomal RNA", at positions 28 to 507 of the family's 1533-position model. The record is from RNAcentral.
GACGAACGCUGGCGGCGUGCUUAACACAUGCAAGUCGAACGCUGAAGACCUGGCUUUUGCUGGGUUGGAUGAGUGGCGAACGGGUGAGUAACACGUGAGUAACCUGCCCUCUUCUUUGGGAUAACGCCCGGAAACGGGUGCUUAUACUGGAUGUUCUCCGAUCUUCUCUUGGGGGUUGGUGGAAAGGUUUGUUCUGGUGGGGGCUGGGCUCGCGGCCUGUUAGCGGGUGGGUGGGGUGUGGGCCUAACAAGGCUGUGUCGGGUAGCCGGCCUGGGAGCGUGGCCGGACAGGGUGGGCGUGAGAAACGGCCCAGAGACACACGGGAGGCAGCAGUGGGAGGUAUUGGACAAUAGGCGAAAGCCUGAGGCGGCGACGCGGUGUAAGAGAUGGGGGCCUUCGGGUUGGAAACCUCUUUCGCAAAUGGUCAGGCGGCAACUGGGGGUUGUAGUGAGGGUAGUGGGUAAAGAAGCGCCGGCUAACUACGUG